Molecule: ribosomal RNA, 419 nt
Filed under: uncultured Prevotella sp.
Lineage: Bacteria; Pseudomonadati; Bacteroidota; Bacteroidia; Bacteroidales; Prevotellaceae
Description: bacterial SSU rRNA
Rfam family: Bacterial small subunit ribosomal RNA
Source: RNAcentral
GGAAUAUUGGUCAAUGGGCGUGAGCCUGAACCAGCCAAGUAGCGUGCAGGAUGACGGCCCUAUGGGUUGUAAACUGCUUUUAUGCGGGGAUAAAGUGCGGCACGUGUGCCGUUUUGUAGGUACCGCAUGAAUAAGGACCGGCUAAUUCCGUGCCAGCAGCCGCGGUAAUACGGAAGGUCCGGGCGUUAUCCGGAUUUAUUGGGUUUAAAGGGAGCGCAGGCGGCCUUUUAAGCGUGACGUGAAAUGUAGGCGCUCAACGUCUGAAUUGCGUCGCGAACUGUUAGGCUUGAGUAGACGGAAUGUCGGCGGAAUUCGUGGUGUAGCGGUGAAAUGCUUAGAUAUCACGAAGAACUCCGAUUGCGAAGGCAGCUGACAGCAGUUUUACUGACGCUCAUGCUCGAAAGUGCGGGUAUCGAACA